ACGAGCGCACCCUCGUCGUUAGUUAUAUGUGUCUAACGAGACCGCCUGUGAUAAGCCGGAGGAAGGUGGGGAUGACGUCAAGUCAGCAUGGCCUUUAUAUCCGGGGCUACACACACGCUACAAUGGCCGGUACAAUGGGUCGCGAAACCGUGAGGCGGAGCCAAUCCUCCAAAGCCGGUCUCAAUUCGGAUUGCAGGCUGCAACUCGCCUGCAUGAAGUCGGAGUUGCUAGUAACCGCGCGUCAGCAACACUGCGGUGAAUACCUUC
This 267-nucleotide ribosomal RNA is filed under the name uncultured bacterium. RNAcentral's name for it is "partial 16S ribosomal RNA". It matches the Rfam family "Bacterial small subunit ribosomal RNA", at positions 1092 to 1373 of the family's 1533-position model. The record is from RNAcentral.